This is a long non-coding RNA of Oncorhynchus tshawytscha (Chinook salmon), 1497 nucleotides long. NCBI's taxonomy places the organism in Eukaryota, Metazoa, Chordata, Actinopteri, Salmoniformes, Salmonidae. The record is from Ensembl.
GUAUGGAUGCAGUAUACAACAAGGAGAGAGAGAGCGAGAGAGAGAGAGAGAGAGGUAUGGAUGUGGUAUACAACAAGGAGAGAGAGAGAGAGAGAGAGAGAUAUGGAUGUGGUAUACAACAGGGAGAGAGAGAGAGAGAGAGAGAGAGAGAGGUAUGGAUGUGGUAUACAACAGGGAGAGAGAGAGAGAGAGAGAGAGAGAGAGAGGUAUGGAUGUGGUAUACAACAGGGAGAGAGAGAGAGAGAGAGAGGUAUGGAUGUGGUAUACAACAGGGAGAGAGAGAGAGAGAGAGAGAGAGAGGUAUGGAUGUGGUAUACAACAGGGAGAGAGAGAGAGAGAGAGGUAUGGAUGCAGUGUACAACAAGGAGAGAGAGAGAGGGGGGGGUAUUGAUGCAGGGGUACAUCACAAGACAGAAACACUGUCGGGUGUGUGUGUGUGUGUGUGUUGGGGGAUACAUGCAAAUCAUCCAUAUAGAAGUGCAGAGAUGCAUUUGACUCGAGGGGAUGGUUCCUGUAUCUGUGUUGCAAGAAAUAUUUAACAGCAAACAGCACUGUUCUCAUUCCAGAGUCAUUGGGAGAAUGUGUCUCUGCUGCCACACACACACACACACACACACACACAGACACACACACACAGACACACACACACACACACACACACACGAAGGUGGCCUAGGAACAGUUUAAGAGUGGUUUAUGACUUCCUGUCUCUGUCACCGCAACUGCCCACCCUCCUUCUCUCUAGUCUGAACACAUACCUGUUUAGUUUCAUCUACUGUUUCGUUUCCAUUUAGUUUCCAUCUGCUGUUUAGUUUCCGGUUAGUUUCCAUUUAGUGUGACCUACAGGCUGCUGUGUUCUUGGGGACCUUCAAUGCUGCAGACAUCUUUUGGUGUCCUUCCCCAGAUCUGUGCAUCGACACAAUCCUGUCUCUGAGCUCUACAGACAAUUCCUUUGACCUCAUGGCUUGGUUUUUGCUCUGUCAACUGUGGGACCUUUUAUAGACAGGUGUGUGUGCCUUUCCAAAUCAUGUCCAAUCAAUUGAAUUUUCCACAGGUGGACUCCAAUCAAGUUGUAGAAACAUCUCAAGGAUGAUCAAUGGAAACAGGAUGCACCUGAGCUCAAUUUCAAGUCUCAUAUUAAAGGGUCUGAAUACGUAUGAAAAUAAGAAUUUUAUUUUUACAUAAAAAAAAUAUAUUUAUAUUUUUCCACAUUUUAUUACGUUACAGCCUUUUUCUAAAAUGUAUUAAAUGAUGUUUUCCCUCAUCAAUCUGCACACAGUACCCCAUAAUGACAUAGCGAAAAUGUUUGCUAAUAUUAAAAAUAUAACAUUUGCAUUAGUAUUCAGACUCAGUACUUUAUUGAAGCACCUUUGGAAGUGAUUACAGCCUAGAGUAUUCUUGGGUAUGAAGCUACAAGCUUGGCACACCUGUAUUUUGGGAGUUAACUCCAUUCUGCUCUGCAGAUCCUCCCAAGCUCUGUCAGGUUGGAUGGGGAGC